RNAcentral lists this transfer RNA (66 nucleotides) under Tetraclitella divisa. RNAcentral describes it as "tRNA-Trp". Lineage: Eukaryota; Metazoa; Arthropoda; Thecostraca; Balanomorpha; Tetraclitidae. The record is from RNAcentral.
AAUGUUUUAGGUUAAAAAAACCUAUAGCCUUCAAAGCUAUAAUUGGGUCAUAUCUCCCAAACAUUA